Molecule: ribosomal RNA, 694 nt
Filed under: uncultured bacterium
Lineage: Bacteria
Description: bacterial SSU rRNA
Rfam family: Bacterial small subunit ribosomal RNA
Source: RNAcentral
CUGCCCAAGAGACUGGGAUAACACCUGGAAACAGAUGCUAAUACCGGAUAACAACACUAGACGCAUGUCUAGAGUUUGAAAGAUGGUUCUGCUAUCACUCUUGGAUGGACCUGCGGUGCAUUAGCUAGUUGGUAAGGUAACGGCUUACCAAGGCAAUGAUGCAUAGCCGAGUUGAGAGACUGAUCGGCCACAUUGGGACUGAGACACGGCCCAAACUCCUACGGGAGGCAGCAGUAGGGAAUCUUCCACAAUGGACGAAAGUCUGAUGGAGCAACGCCGCGUGAGUGAAGAAGGGUUUCGGCUCGUAAAGCUCUGUUGGUAGUGAAGAAAGAUAGAGGUAGUAACUGGCCUUUAUUUGACGGUAAUUACUUAGAAAGUCACGGCUAACUACGUGCCAGCAGCCGCGGUAAUACGUAGGUGGCAAGCGUUGUCCGGAUUUAUUGGGCGUAAAGCGAGUGCAGGCGGUUCAAUAAGUCUGAUGUGAAAGCCUUCGGCUCAACCGGAGGAUUGCAUCAGAAACUGUUGAACUUGAGUGCAGAAGAGGAGAGUGGAACUCCAUGUGUAGCGGUGGAAUGCGUAGAUAUAUGGAAGAACACCAGUGGCGAAGGCGGCUCUCUGGUCUGCAACUGACGCUGAGGCUCGAAAGCAUGGGUAGCGAACAGGAUUAGAUACCCUGGUAGUCCAUGCCGUAAAC